AUGUACAUGAUCAGGAUGAGAUACUGAACAACAUAUAACAGUUUUUCUUUUGGGGGGAUGAUCUGAAAGGCUGAGGACAUAGUGAAGGAAAACACACAAGGCUCAUACUGCAGAUCUCAGAUAAUUAUGAUCCGGUCACGAUGCUACAAGAAGCAGAAAACUACCACAGUCCUCCUUUGGAUCCUCAAUUUUUUGUAUUUUAUGUCAUAUUAUUCCGUUGUUUACUGAUCUAUGAGCCAUUACAUUACUAGUGCCACAAAAAUACCUUUUAUAACCCAAUAUAGUUUAUUACAUGUCAUCUUAUACUUAUUCAAUAAAUGGUAAUGAUUCAGAUGCCCUGUUAUACUUCUUGU
Molecule: long non-coding RNA, 353 nt
Organism: Hyla sarda
Lineage: Eukaryota; Metazoa; Chordata; Amphibia; Anura; Hylidae
Exons: 3
Source: RefSeq, a predicted model, not a curated record